GGGGAAUAUUGGGCAAUGGGCGCAAGCCUGACCCAGCAACGCCGCGUGAAGGAUGAAGGCUUUCGGGUUGUAAACUUCUUUGAUCGGGGACGAAAUUGACGGUACCCGAGGAACAAGCCACGGCUAACUACGUGCCAGCAGCCGCGGUAAUACGUAGGUGGCGAGCGUUAUCCGGAAUUACUGGGCGUAAAGGGCGCGUAGGCGGGAAAACAAGUCAGGAGUGAAAUCCCAGGGCUUAACUCUGGAGCUGCUUCUGAAACUGUUUUUCUUGAGUGUCGGAGAGGAAAGUGGAAUUCCCAGUGUAGCGGUGAAAUGCGUAGAGAUUGGGAGGAACACCAGUGGCGAAGGCGGCUUUCUGGACGAUAACUGACGCUGAGGCGCGAAAGCGUGGGGAGCAAAC
This 400-nucleotide ribosomal RNA is filed under the name uncultured bacterium. RNAcentral describes it as "bacterial SSU rRNA". It matches the Rfam family "Bacterial small subunit ribosomal RNA", at positions 356 to 773 of the family's 1533-position model. The record is from RNAcentral.